Molecule: ribosomal RNA, 468 nt
Filed under: uncultured bacterium
Lineage: Bacteria
Description: partial 16S ribosomal RNA
Rfam family: Bacterial small subunit ribosomal RNA
Source: RNAcentral
GACGAACGCUGGCGGCGGGCUUAACACAUGCAAGUCGAACGGAAAGGCCCUGCUUGUGUGGGGUGCUCGAGUGGCGAACGGGUGAGUAACACGUGAGUAACCUGCCCUUGACUUUGGGAUAACUUCAGGAAACUGGGGCUAAUACCGGAUAGGAGCUCCUGCUGCAUGGUGGGGGUUGGAAAGUUUCGGCGGUUGGGGAUGGACUCGCGGCUUAUCAGCUUGUUGGUGGGGUAGUGGCUUACCAAGGCUUUGACGGGUAGCCGGCCUGAGAGGGUGACCGGCCACAGUGGGACUGAGAUACGGCCCGCACUCCUACGGGAGGCAGCAGUGGGGAAUAUUGCACGAUGGGCGGAAGCCUGAUGCAGCAACGCCGCGUGCGGGAUGACGGCCUUCGGGUUGUAAGCCGCUUUCGCCUGUGACGAAGCGUGAGUGACGGUAAUGGGUAAAGAAGCACCGGCUAACUACGUG